Molecule: transfer RNA, 73 nt
Filed under: Ailuropoda melanoleuca (giant panda)
Lineage: Eukaryota; Metazoa; Chordata; Mammalia; Carnivora; Ursidae
Rfam family: tRNA
About the family: Transfer RNA (tRNA) molecules are approximately 80 nucleotides in length. Their secondary structure includes four short double-helical elements and three loops (D, anti-codon, and T loops). Further hydrogen bonds mediate the characteristic L-shaped molecular structure. tRNAs have two regions of fundamental functional importance: the anti-codon, which is responsible for specific mRNA codon recognition, and the 3' end, to which the tRNAs corresponding amino acid is attached (by aminoacyl-tRNA synthetases). tRNAs cope with the degeneracy of the genetic code in two manners: having more than one tRNA (with a specific anti-codon) for a particular amino acid; and 'wobble' base-pairing, i.e. permitting non-standard base-pairing at the 3rd anti-codon position.
Source: Rfam by way of RNAcentral
GCCUGGCUGGCUCAGUCAGCAGAGCGUGAGACUGUUCAUCUUGAGGUUGUGGGUUCGAGUCCCAUAUUGGGUG